GGAAUGGUCGGGAUAGCUCAGCUGGUAGAGCAGAG
This 35-nucleotide transfer RNA is filed under the name Eberhardtia aurata. RNAcentral's name for it is "partial tRNA-Phe". Lineage: Eukaryota; Viridiplantae; Streptophyta; Magnoliopsida; Ericales; Sapotaceae. The record is from RNAcentral.